Molecule: long non-coding RNA, 2112 nt
Organism: Homo sapiens (human)
Lineage: Eukaryota; Metazoa; Chordata; Mammalia; Primates; Hominidae
Gene: PCBP1-AS1
Product: PCBP1 antisense RNA 1
Source: Ensembl
GGGGGGGAGGGGCGGCGAGGCGAGGCCUGCGGAGCGGAGGAAGACAAACAUAAAGAUGAAGUGCUUAAUUCAAGGUCACACAAUGUCGGGGAUGGACCUCCAGAUUUCCUUACUGGAAAACAAGCUCAGGGCUCCCACUGAUUGUACAUUAUGAGACGGAGUCUUGCUAUGUUGCCCAGGCUGGUCUUGAACUCCUCACCUCAAGCGAUCCUCCCGUCUUGGCCUCCCAAGUGUCAGGAUUACGGGCAUGUGCUAUCACACCCAACCUGAUACAUUGCCUUUAUAAAUUUUUUUUUCUUUAUUCUAAAAACCAGAAAAAACAAAACUGGAUACAUGUGCAGAACAUGCAGGUUUGUUACAUAGCUGUACGUGUGCCAUGGUGGUUUGCUGCACCUAUUGACCUAUCCUACCAAGUGUGUUGGGGACUUGAGAUGCGUACAUGAGUGUGAUGUUUCCUGCUGAAAGCACAGGUGAGACGUGGUCUUGUAACACAGUGGUUAAGAAUGUGACUUUGGAGCCAGCCUGCUAGGGGCUGAAUUCUGACUCAGCCAUUUACUAACUGUGUGACCUUAGUUCCCUGAGCACAUGCUGUUGAGUAAUCCUGCCUGGACCAGUACUUCCCUCACCCUAGACUUCACCUUCAGUUCCCCUUUAUACCACCUGCUGAAGCUGCCAGCCAGCCUUUUCGACCACCCUCCCUCCCCCAGGGGUGUUUGGCUUCUCAGACCCCAGCCUGAGCUAGUGCCCUUGGCUUCCUAGGGUCUUGCCAGGAAAGCAAAGGAGAACAUGCAUACCGCCAAAGAGUACCUAAUAAUAAGAACUCCCAUCCUGAAUUGUGAUUUAUAGUCAGCAUAGCACAUGUGUCAGGUGAUUAUACUUAGGCUGAUUUUAGCCUUAAUAAUCUGCUUCUGUGAUCCUGUAUGUGGGAAGCCUAGAAAUUUCUCUGUGAUCCUCCUUCCUGGAUCACUAAGAGACAAGUCAAGACAUAGGUCCAUUCUACCACCUGUGUUAAUCUGGGCCUUGUUGAGACCAUUUAAAGAAAGGCGUGAUGCUAGAAGUAAGGUCCAGGCCUCCUGCACACUGUUUCAAGGCUGUGACCAUAGUCAGAUCCUGUUGCUUGAGUCCAAAGAGUUUAAAAUAGUGUUGGAAACCUCCUAGGGAAAAAACAAAAAACAAAACACCACAUCUUCCUGGGUAAGGAAGUGACAUGUGCUGACUAGAGCAGGAGGGGUAGCCAAGGCUCCAAGUUCUAUUCUGGACCUGUUGUUGAUUUGAGGUGUGACAUUCAGCAAUCUGAGCUGAUGUUCUGUAGCUCUGAUUGGUUUCUCAUCUUCUGCAGAGAGAGUGAAAGAGGCUGUGCUUGCAGGGGAAAAGGUGAACACUGGUCUCCUGUCCUUUAGGAGAGCUUCACCAUUACACGUCCUGCCUCUCAUUUGAAUUUCCAGGCUUUUUUAGAGUCUCGCUCUAUUGCCCAGAUUGGAGUGCAGUGGUGUGAUCUCGGCUCACUGCAACCUCUGCCUCUGGGUUUAAGCGAUUCUCUCACCUCAGCCUCCCAAGUAGCUGGAAUUAUAGGUGCGUGCCACCAUGCCUGGCUAAUUUUUGUGUUUUUAGUAGAGACAGGGUUUCACCAUGUUGGCCAGGCUAGUCUCGAACUCCUGACCUCAAGUGAUCCACCCACCUCGGCCUCCCAACCAGGCUUUUUUAAAUGCAGAAACCGCCCGCCCCCAGAGUUAAUAUGGAAACCCAGCAAUGUUGUUUAUGUUUUACUUGAAUUCGUUUCAUCAGAAUUGCAUUCCUUUUAACAGUGUGAUUAGAUCAGCUCUUAGAGGGGAUGGCAGCUUCAGUAGGGUUUAGGAAAGGAAAGGAAUAUUUGUGUGGGGCACACACUUUGGCUUUGAUAGCUUGAGGAUACCAGGUACAUGAUAAUUUAGAUGGAUAACAGAAACUUGUGUCCCUUGAGAGCCAGGCAUGUAUUAGAUGCUUUCAUACAUUAUUUAAUUGUAAUACAAACCAAUAAAGUAUUCCCAUUUUUUGCACAUGGGCAAGCUGAAAGUCAAAGAAGUUAUGUAACUUGCCCAAGGUCACACAGCUAAUAAAAAGGCUGAGCUAGGA